This is a non-coding RNA of Brugia malayi, 69 nucleotides long. NCBI's taxonomy places the organism in Eukaryota, Metazoa, Nematoda, Chromadorea, Rhabditida, Onchocercidae. The record is from RefSeq and is a predicted model, not a curated record.
UUGACUAGCAUCCACUAUUCUUUGUUGACUUAAAAGGGGUCAACAAAGAAUAGUGGUAUUUCGGGAGGA